Molecule: ribosomal RNA, 300 nt
Filed under: Triticum aestivum (bread wheat)
Lineage: Eukaryota; Viridiplantae; Streptophyta; Magnoliopsida; Poales; Poaceae
Description: partial small subunit ribosomal RNA
Source: RNAcentral
AUGAGUCUCGGGGGAGAACCCUUGCCGCCACUCCUUCCCUCCCCUAUACCUCCUCCCCGUCUCGCCGCCGCCGUCGGAGUGCGCCCCGGGGCGAAGCUAGGGCCAGCGCCUCCAUGCGUCUCUGGGGAGAACCCUAGCCACCACCCCUUCCCUUCCCUAACUCCUCCAUGUCUCGCCACCCCCGCCGGAGGGCGUGCCGGGGCGAAGCUACGGCCAUCCCCAAGGAGGGCGACGACGGGGCACCUGGUUUGUGUCGGCUUGGCACGGGCGCGCGGCAAACGCUUGGUGCAGCAGCGUUGA